AUCAACUUUCGAUGGUAGGAUAGAGGCCUACCAUGGUGGUAACGGGUAACGGGGUGUUAGGGCACGACACCGGAGAGGGAGCCUGAGAAACGGCUACCACAUCCAAGGAUGGCAGCAGGCGCGCAAAUUACCCAAUCCCGACACGGGGAGGUAGUGACAAUAAAUAACAAUACGGGGCUCUUUAGGGUCUCGUAAUUGGAAUGAGUACAAUUUAAAUCUCUUAACGAGGAACAAUUGGAGGGCAAGUCUGGUGCCAGCAGCCGCGGUAAUUCCAGCUCCAAUAGCGUAUAUUAAAGUUGUUGCAGUUAAAAAGCUCGUAGUUGAAUUUCGGGAUCAGUACGUCGGUCGUGCCUUCGGUACGUACUGGUGUUACUGAUUCCUACCUUCUGACGAACCAUCAUGUCAUUAAUUUGGUGUGGCGGGGAAUCAGGACUGUUACUUUGAAAAAAUUAGAGUGUUUAAAGCAGGCUCGCGCUUGAAUACAUUAGCAUGGAAUAAUGAAAUAGGACGUUGACCCUAUUUUGUUGGUUUCUAGGAUUGACGUAAUGAUUAAUAGGGAUAGUUGGGGGCAUUAGUAUUCAAUUGUCAGAGGUGAAAUUCUUGGAUUUAUUGAAGACUAACUACUGCGAAAGCAUUUGCCAAGGAUGUUUUCAUUAAUCAAGAACGAAAGUUAGGGGAUCGAAGACGAUCAGAUACCGUCGUAGUCUUAACCAUAAACUAUGCCGACUAGGGAUCGGAUGAUGUUAUUUUUAAUGACUCAUUCGGCGCCUUACGGGAAACCAAAGUGUUUGGGUUC
RNAcentral lists this ribosomal RNA (796 nucleotides) under uncultured Glomeromycotina. Its description in RNAcentral is "SSU rRNA". It matches the Rfam family "Eukaryotic small subunit ribosomal RNA", at positions 314 to 1114 of the family's 1831-position model. The record is from RNAcentral. Lineage: Eukaryota; Fungi; Glomeromycota.